GACGAACGCUGGCGGCGCGCUUAACACAUGCAAGUCGAGCGAGAACCAGCCCUUCGGGGCUGGGGACAGCGGCGAACGGGUGAGUAACACGUGGGUAAUCAACCCUCGGUACUGGGAUAGCCCGGGGAAACCCGGAUUAAUACCGGAUGGCCCUUUGGAUCUUCGGAUCUGACGGAAAAGGUAGCUUCGGCCUCCGACCGAGGACGAGCCCGCGGCGGAUUAGCUUGUUGGUGGGGUAAUGGCCUACCAAGGCGGCGAUCCGUAGCUGGUCUGAGAGGACGAUCAGCCACACUGGGACUGAGACACGGCCCAGACUCCUACGGGAGGCAGCAGUGGGGAAUCUUGCGCUAAUGCGGGAAACCGUGACGCAGCGACGCCGCGUGAGGGAAGAAGGCCUUCGGGUUGUAAACCUCUUUCAGGAGGGACGAAGCUACUCGGGUUAAUAGCCCAGAGGGUGACGGUACCUCCAGAAGAAGCCCCGGCUAACUACGUGCCAGCAGCCGCCGUAA
Molecule: ribosomal RNA, 509 nt
Filed under: uncultured bacterium
Lineage: Bacteria
Description: partial 16S ribosomal RNA
Rfam family: Bacterial small subunit ribosomal RNA
Source: RNAcentral